This 445-nucleotide ribosomal RNA is filed under the name uncultured bacterium. RNAcentral describes it as "partial 16S ribosomal RNA". It matches the Rfam family "Bacterial small subunit ribosomal RNA", at positions 330 to 792 of the family's 1533-position model. The record is from RNAcentral.
ACCAGACUCCUACGGGAGGCAGCAGUGGGGGAUAUUGCACAAUGGGGGGAACCCUGAUGCAGCGACGCCGCGUGGGUGAAGAAGCGCCUCGGCGCGUAAAGCCCUGUCAGCAGGGAAGAAAAUGACGGUACCUGAAGAAGAAGCCCCGGCUAACUACGUGCCAGCAGCCGCGGUAAUACGUAGGGGGCAAGCGUUAUCCGGAUUUACUGGGUGUAAAGGGGGCGCAGACGGCAGCGCAAGCCAGGAGUGAAAGCCCGGGGCCCAACCCCGGGACUGCUCUUGGAACUGCGCGGCUGGAGUGCAGGAGGGACAGGCGGAAUUCCUGGUGUAGCGGUGAAAUGCGUAGAUAUUAGGAAGAACACCAGUGGCGAAGGCGGCUUACUGGACGGCAACUGACGCUGAGGCUCGAAAGCGUGGGGAGCAAACAGGAUUAGAUACCCGCGUA